Cucurbita moschata (crookneck pumpkin) is the source of this 1234-nucleotide RNA transcript. It is a transcript of the gene named RNA-binding protein 33-like, with no coding region annotated. The record is from RefSeq and is a predicted model, not a curated record. The transcript is spliced from 7 exons. NCBI's taxonomy places the organism in Eukaryota, Viridiplantae, Streptophyta, Magnoliopsida, Cucurbitales, Cucurbitaceae.
ACUUGGAAAUUCAAGGUCAAGAUGGAUAAGGGUAUUUUCCAGAUGAUCUUAUGCGGAAACCCGCACCGAAGUUUUCGUGGUCAUCUCUCUGUCAUCUCCCAUCGUUUGUCUUCGUCUUCCACGUUCAAUCGCCUCAUCAUUUUCAGGCCUCGACUAAAUUUUCUGGAGAGCCACCGCCCCGCACCGUCAUGGCCCUCCGACGACCACUGCCCCAAUUUCAACCACCAGUUUGAUCCUUAUGUUCAAUACCCCAAUCACCAUCCCGGACCCCCUUUUGGCCAGCCUAAUUAUCCCCCAGAGUACUCGCACCAUCCGCCACCACCGCCGCAGCAACAGCCUCCGUUCCAGCACCCGCCACCGCACCAACAGCCGUAUCAGCACCAGCAGAAUAACUGGAACCAUCCAGAGUUCCACAAUCAUCCCCCGGAUUAUCGUCCCCAGCCGCACUUUAACGGCGAGAUGAGUGAGAGGUUUGGAUACGGCGGUUUGAGGGCGAAUUGUGGGGAUCAGAAUGCAAAUUUGGGGCGUAAAAGGCCCAGAAUCCAUUCCGACAGAACGGUUCCUGCAGAUCAUGCUGAGGCUAGUGGCCUCGUGAAAUUGUAUGUUGCCCAAGUUCCCCGAACGGGAACCGAAGAAGCUAUUCGUUCUUUGUUUGAAGUCCAUGGAGAUAUUGUCAAGAUCAACUGGUCAACAGAAAGGUAGUUGCUUUGUGAAAUACGCUACCUUGGUUGAAGCAGACAGGGCAACCAGUGCUUUGGACAAUCAGUAUACUUUUCCUGGAGUGAGUUAUUGUUUAUAGCCGAUUGACGAACAUAUUGUAUGGAACACUUUUGCUCUUAUUUUGAAAGAACUGACACCUAUGAAUGUGAAAUAUGCUGAUAGUGAAAGAGACCGCCUUGAGGCAACAACAUUUCAGGCAGAGUGAGAUUCGGUCAUCCUCCUCAACCGUUUAGGUAUAUCGUGUACUCCGUUCCUUUUUGUCUAAUUUGAUAACAUAAAUUGUUUUCUUAUUGGUUUAACCUUUUCUAGACCUGAGCCUCCUCUUGGUCCUCCUUCUGGAGGAUGUUUUCCUAAUAAUUCAUAUCCUGGACAACAAAAUUCUACAAUCUUAGGAUCACCAAGGAAUGCUUCCCAAGAGGCAUCCCAUGCCCCUUUGGCUUCUAAUGCUGUACAGAAACCACCCCCCCAAAUACAAGAACCCUCAUUGUCUUUUGUUCAAAUUUCAUCUCAACCA